RNAcentral lists this ribosomal RNA (468 nucleotides) under uncultured bacterium. RNAcentral describes it as "partial 16S ribosomal RNA". It matches the Rfam family "Bacterial small subunit ribosomal RNA", at positions 28 to 507 of the family's 1533-position model. The record is from RNAcentral.
GACGAACGCUGGCGGCGUGCUUAACACAUGCAAGUCGAACGGAAAGGCCCUGCUUUUGUGGGGUGCUCGAGUGGCGAACGGGUGCGUAACACGUGAGUAACCUGCCCUUGACUUUGGGAUAACUUCAGGAAACUGGGGCUAAUACCGGAUCGGAGCUCCUCCUCCAUGGUGAGGGUUGGAAAUUUUCGGCGGUUGGGGAUGGACUCGCGGCUUAUCAGCUUGUUGGUUGGGUAGUGGCUUGCCCAGGCAUUGACGGGUAGCCGGCCUGAGAGGGUGACCGGCCACCUUGGGACUGAGAGACGGAGCAGACUCGUACGGGAGGCAGCAGUGGGGAACCUUGCACAAUGGGAGGAAGCCUGAUGCAGAAACGCCGCGUGCGGGAUGACGGCCUUCGGGUUGUAAACCGCUUUCGCCUGUGACGAAGCGUGAGUGACGGUAAUGGAUAAAGAAGCACCGGCUAACUACGUG